This 1478-nucleotide long non-coding RNA is filed under the name Olea europaea subsp. europaea. Lineage: Eukaryota; Viridiplantae; Streptophyta; Magnoliopsida; Lamiales; Oleaceae. The record is from RNAcentral.
GGAAAAAAUAAUAAUAACACAACUAAUCAAUUCAAAAUCGUAUUUCCAUUUCCCCCAAUUCACGCAAGAAAUAUCUUUCCCAAACCAAUCUUCCUAUACUCCCGAUCACCGUCACUGUCGAUGUGAGCACCCCCUUCACCAUCGACGCCAACAAUUGCUACCUGGGAACAGAAAAUUAGACGCCACAUUCACCAACAUAUAUGACGCGGCACUCGCCUCCCUUCCCUGCCACACUCCAUGAGGGUUAGAAUGUAAAUAGUUGUGGUCGUAAUUUAGCUAUAUUUUUCUGUGUCUUCUUCUAAAUUGUUGAUUUUUUCAGCGAUUGUCGUCUUCUAAAGUUUUGUUUUUGGAUUUUCCAUUUUUUAUUUUGUAUUCUUCUAAAUUCCUUGUCGCCAAUGUUGAAUGAUACGAUGUGCAUAAUAUGAUCUUGUUAAGUAAAGUGUUGAUUUUUUAGCGGUUGUCGUCUUCUAAAGUUUUGUUUCUGGAUGUGGUUUAUUUAUUAUUAUUUUUUUGUAUUCUUUUGAAUUUAAUGUCGCCAAUGUUGAAUGAUAUGGUCUGAAUAAUAUGAUUUUGUGGUUACGAAUUUGUACAAAGAAUCAAUUCAUUUGUUAACGAGCUUAGGUUUUUGCCGAGGUUUUUUACAUGGAUAAUGAGGUUUAGGUUGUUGAUGUGGAAUUUUGCAACUGAGAUGCAUUCAUCUUUGUUUAUUUGUUUGUCCAGCCCGGAUUGACUACAAUGAGAGGAAGGAAUAUAGGAGUUUGUCACAGUUGCAGAAGCAACACUCAUUACUUUGGACAAUGCUAAACAAAGCGUCGAUGCCCUUCAUGUAAACACGGAUAUCGCAAUUGUUUUGAGAUGGAACGGGAUACUAGUAACAAAGGGCGAUUGUUCUUUACCUGUAGUAAUGAUUGUGGAUAUUUCGACUAGGUGAAAGAAGAAGUGCUAAGUGGGGAGUCAAGUUCCGUUAACGAAGCGAUGAAUCAUGAGUCCAAUGUGGAAGAUGAAGAUUUGCCAAGACUCUUUGACGGUCUAGCUCGAAUUAGUGAAAAACGAGGCGUGGACAUAUCAAUGCACUUGAGUUUCAGCAAGGGAAAGGGCAUUGCGAAGUGCGAUGGGAAAGGAAAGGGUUCGACUUGAACGGUUUAUUUGAUGUAUGGGUAAUCUUAUCAAAACUGGUCAUUGUACGAACGAUUGUUAUUAGAUUCGUCGUAAUAUAUGUUAUGGUUGCUAGAACCUUUACGACAUACUUAUUCUCGAUUUUUUUUUUUUUUUUGCGAACAUCCUAGCUAAAUUGUUUAACAAGAAAGACUUGUCAUUAAAGUCUUCUACUGUUAUUGUGCAGUCUUCAAUGUUUGUUGUAUAUUGUGUCACUGGUUUAUAUUGUACAUCCACUCAGUUUCAGCAAUCUAGCCCAUUAUCCAUUUAUUGUUACAUUCAGGUCUUUCCUGUUAGAGUAAAUAUAUGGAAUAUAAGGCUUU